This is a long non-coding RNA of Sphaeramia orbicularis (orbiculate cardinalfish), 190 nucleotides long. RefSeq lists it as uncharacterized. NCBI's taxonomy places the organism in Eukaryota, Metazoa, Chordata, Actinopteri, Kurtiformes, Apogonidae. The record is from RefSeq and is a predicted model, not a curated record. The transcript has 3 exons.
UUUUUUAUUUUUGAAUGUUCGUUUAUGGUAAACUCUGUAAUUUACUGAGCAUUUGUGAACACCUCACAGUAUUUCCUGAGGUGCUGUGAAUGUAACCUCACAGUAACACUCCAGCAGAGGCACGGUGAAGGAGAAGAGGAGCAGGUUCACUUGAUUUUGCCAACUUGAAACAUUUUAAAGUAAAGUCAAA